CAGAAGGAACUACAACCUUAGCUCUAACAAAUUCUCCCUAAAGGAUAAUGGCAAAUGUCCUUAACCUUUGCACAUAGUUGGAAAAUUAGUUCUAAAGCACUAACAAAAUUAUCCACACCCUAACUUCGGAUCUCCAGCAUGAAGAAAAGGAAUCCCCCAACAUGUCACUUCUCAGAGAUUCCCAGCAGAUCUUGUAACUUCCCCAGGGAAUGAAUAAUGUUGAUGCUGUGCUCUCUCAUGUACUAAGUGUUCUCCUGGUUUCACUUGCAAUUGAAGGAAUCUUUCCAGGAGUCCUUCUUCUGGUCUGAAAGCUAGACUGAAUCCAGGCUCUGACUCCAUGCUAGCUGUGCUCCAUAUGGCUCCCCUGAAAUAUUGUGAUUUGAUGCAGGUGCAGAGCAACUCAUGAGCCUGUGACAACAGCCCCGUCCAGCGUUUCACACACAGAGAGAGGCCCUGAAUGCCCUGAUAGCUUUGGCAAACCCUGCUGAAGACAACAAGACCUACUUCACUAGGAGUACAACGUGAUGCCCCUGAAGACAAGAAUACUGAUUUGUGAUGCGGAGAGGAACACCCAUUUUUCCUUGUGCACUUGCUAGGGCUUACAACCCAAUGCAACUGACUAACAACAUCAGUAAAAUAAGAAAUUUGGUAAUUUUUAGAUCAUCCCUAUUUGGCCACCUGCUCUGAGUAAAACAACUGCUUACACAGUUUCUCUUUGUUUUUCUUUUUUUAGAUAAUACUGUCAAAAAACUUGUUUAUCAUAUACUCUGCAACAAAAGCAUCUGGUAGUUCU
This is a long non-coding RNA of Oxyura jamaicensis (ruddy duck), 793 nucleotides long. RefSeq lists it as uncharacterized. The record is from RefSeq and is a predicted model, not a curated record. Lineage: Eukaryota; Metazoa; Chordata; Aves; Anseriformes; Anatidae. The transcript has 4 exons.